Molecule: non-coding RNA, 73 nt
Organism: Melanotaenia boesemani (Boeseman's rainbowfish)
Lineage: Eukaryota; Metazoa; Chordata; Actinopteri; Atheriniformes; Melanotaeniidae
Source: the annotation of a RefSeq genome assembly
GCCAGGCUAGCUCAGUUGGUAGAGCAUGAGCCUCUUAAUCUCAUAGUCGUGGGUUUGAGCCCCACGUCAGGUG